AUUGAACGCUGGCAGCAGGCUUAACACAUGCAAGUCGAGCGGGGGAGGUUACUUCGGUAACUGACCUAGCGGCGGACGGGUGAGUAAUGCUUAGGAAUCUGCCUAUUAGUGGGGGACAACAUUCCGAAAGGAAUGCUAAUACCGCAUACGUCCUACGGGGGAAAGCAGGGGAUCUUCGGACCUUGCGCUAAUAGAUGAGCCUAAGUCGGAUUAGCUAGUUGGUGGGGUAAAGGCCUACCAAGGCGACGAUCUGUAGCGGGUCUAGGAGGAUGAUGCGGCCCACUGGCACUGUGCCACGGCCCAGAUUCCUACGGGAGGCAGCGGUGGGGAAUAUUGGACAAUGGGGGGAACCCUGAUCCAGCCAUGCCGCGUGUGUGAAGAAGGCCUUUUGGUUGUAAAGCACUUUAAGCGAGGAGGAGGCUCCUUUAGUUAAUACCUAAAGAGGGUGGACGUUACUCGCAGAAUAAGCACCGGCUAACUCUGUGCCAGCAGCCGCCGUAA
RNAcentral lists this ribosomal RNA (501 nucleotides) under uncultured bacterium. Its description in RNAcentral is "partial 16S ribosomal RNA". It matches the Rfam family "Bacterial small subunit ribosomal RNA", at positions 30 to 523 of the family's 1533-position model. The record is from RNAcentral.